UACAGAGGGUGCGAGCGUUGUCCGGAAUCACUGGGCGUAAAGGGCGCGUAGGUGGCCCGACAAGUCUGUGGUGAAAGCUCGACGCUCAACGUCGAGUCGGCCAUAGAUACUGUUGGGCUGGAGCACUGUAGAGGCUCAUGGAAUUCCUGGUGUAGCGGUGAAAUGCGCAGAUAUCAGGAGGAACACCUGUGGUGUAGACAGCUUACUGGACCAUUUCUGACGCUGAGACACGAAAGCGUGGGUAGCAAACAGG
RNAcentral lists this ribosomal RNA (253 nucleotides) under uncultured bacterium. RNAcentral describes it as "partial 16S ribosomal RNA". It matches the Rfam family "Bacterial small subunit ribosomal RNA", at positions 524 to 776 of the family's 1533-position model. The record is from RNAcentral.